Cimex lectularius (bed bug) is the source of this 528-nucleotide long non-coding RNA. RefSeq lists it as uncharacterized. The transcript has 3 exons. The record is from RefSeq and is a predicted model, not a curated record. NCBI's taxonomy places the organism in Eukaryota, Metazoa, Arthropoda, Insecta, Hemiptera, Cimicidae.
ACCGGUUUGCGUUUUCAGUCUGCCUUUAUUUGUCAUGGAUUAAACUACAAUACGAGCAAGAGAUAACGAUCGCGUGUAAAAUGUAAAACGUUAUAAUAUUUGGUAUAGUGCUUAGUGGUGUAAUUAAUCAAUAAAGCCAGAGAAACGCCUAUCAUAAAAGAGGGCGUGCGCAGCGCGAGGAGGGGACCGCCGCGCCGGCCGAGGAGGCAGUCAGUCAGUUUGUUACCGGCUUGUGUUGAGGAGGGAACCCGCCGAGAGGACACCUUGUCGCGAACAGGCACAACUCCCGACCCUCCCGUGUGCAAUGGGCAAAAAAGGGAGGAAGACGAGGUGGAGAAAACUACCCAUUCCCAUCGGAGAAGGUAUGUAUCCCGAGUUCUUGUUGUGUGAGUAAAUAUUUUUUUUUUAAUUUUGAACAAAAGCCAUUUCUUUACUUUGAACCGUUGCAGAAUAAAUGAACGGAUGAAUUGUGUAUCCUUGGCUUAAAUAUAGCCGCUUUCAAAAACGAAUCGUACAGAAAUAAAUAUA